Molecule: non-coding RNA, 189 nt
Filed under: Cytobacillus dafuensis
Lineage: Bacteria; Bacillati; Bacillota; Bacilli; Caryophanales; Bacillaceae
Description: 6S / SsrS RNA
Rfam family: 6S / SsrS RNA
About the family: E. coli 6S RNA was the first non coding RNA to be sequenced, but its function was unknown until recently. It consists of 184 nucleotides that fold into an extended hairpin structure with a large single-stranded internal bulge.
Source: Rfam by way of RNAcentral
AGAGUCCUGAUGUGUUCGUUGUGUAACCUGAAAUUUUGACCGAACAUUUUUCCUUCGGGAGUCCGGAGUUUUCCAGCCGCGUAAAUGCCUCCAAGACGAGGACUUGCAAAAAGCAGGGAACAGGACACCCACCUGCUAAGUGCGGGUUCAAAACGAAGGCAUCAAAGCGACGGCACGAUUGGGACUCUU